This is a long non-coding RNA of Aethalodelphis obliquidens (Pacific white-sided dolphin), 2022 nucleotides long. RefSeq lists it as uncharacterized. Lineage: Eukaryota; Metazoa; Chordata; Mammalia; Artiodactyla; Delphinidae. The transcript has 3 exons. The record is from RefSeq and is a predicted model, not a curated record.
AUAGUGUGUGUGUGUGUGUGUGUGUGUGUGUGUGUGUGAGAUGCUUGCCCUGGAAGGAGAAGGGGCUUAUUUGGCAUGUCAUGGCAGGUGAAGGUCUGAGUCAGGGUUCAGGGCCCAUGUGCCAACCACAUGGAAUGUCACCACCUCCUGGAGUGCCUGUUCCCCCUGCUCGGCCGCUGGCAUCUCCUCCAAGGCCCCAGUUCCUCCCUCUGGCUAGUCCUCUGUGGUUGCGUUCCUUGGACGGAACGGUUUGUUUUCCCUUCCAGUCCAUCCUUCUAUAAUUGUUUCCAUGUAUUUCCCUUGAUUUGCAGUUUGCAAUCCAUCCCCGCCCUCCUCCACUCCCCUGCCCAGGACCUAGCUCCAUUCUGGGACCGCAGAUGGAGGGCCCGCAGCCGGGCAAGGAGACAACGGAGCUAGGUGAGGACCACGACGCACAAGGCGCCUCUCCAGUCACGGAGCCCUCCCAAGUCUGCUGGAAAGCUAAGACUUACAUGAAACAACAGGACCCUGGGAUCUAUUAUGUCCAUUGAUUAGACAAUCUGCCUGAGGCUCCUAGAAGGCUGAUGCUUCUGGGAAAUGGGUGAAUCCAAUAAUGGCUUCAGAGAAACAGAAUUCAAGAGACAGAACUUGGGACCGGAAAUGCAUCUCGAUGUCUGUUGGGAAAGCCGGGACACAGCAGGCGGGAGCAGCAUUGCCUGAUGACGCCUUCCUGCCCACCGCACCCUCCUGUAGGGCCUUUGUCCACACCGGCCCUGCUCAUCUGCCAGCCACGGAUGCCCUCACGUGCGGGGCACACCGGCCCCCAUGCAAAUCUAGCCAGGCUGAUCCCUGCCCCGGCAGCUGAAAGUCUCCUAAUAAACAAGUGUUGGUUUGCCGAACAGGAGAGACCCUUGACGUCAGGGGUAGAACUUUCUGGGAGGAAAACACUUCAUUUCCAGGGCAAGUGUUGCUCAGCUGCUCUGAGACUCAAACAUGUUCUCAGCCUCACUGUCAGCAGGGCUGCAGGACACCAACCACAGGAGGAGGAGGCAGCAUGGGUGUGUCCAGCUUCUGGGGCGGUGUGGGGUUGGGGGGCAGCUCAAAGAGCACUGGACCAGGAGUCCUGAGACCCAAAUGAGAGAGCACUAACAACAACAAUAAUAAUAACGAUAACCAGAUGCUUGUUCGUUUAUUGAGGGCUUACUAUGUACCGGGCAUGGUCGGAACAUCUGGUGCACCCAGCCCUUUGAAGAAAUUUUCUACCGUUCCCAGUCUGCAAAAGGGGAAAUAAGGCUCAGGAGGUUGGAGAUGAUAGGAAGUCUUCCCUGCGGAAGUGGUACUCUGCCUGGAGUCUGAAGGAUGAAUUAGAUGUUAAGUAAGUGAGGAGGGGGAGGGAAAAACAUUGUAGCCAGCAGGGACAGCAUGUGCAAAGGGCCUGUGGUGGGCAUAAGUCUGGUGAGGCUGAACCCCGAGAGGAGCAAGUUCCAUGUGUCUGGAGGGAGGGGUACUGUGGGUUACAGGGAGCUGACAGGGGCUCGUCCCUGUGGCUCCUGUGGGGUUUGGGCCUUCAUUCUAAGACCUCAGAAGCCAUGAAAUCUUUAAAGAAAGAUGUGACAGGCUCAGAUCUGGGUUUUUGAAAGCUCCCUCUGGUGACCCCAGAGUUGGGUGGACAGUGGCCUCAGGAUGGGAAUGCAUACAGCUGAGACUUCAUGUCAACCAAUCUUGCCCAGGGCAGCCCCAGGGGGAGGCUGGGACCUGCAUAGCCUGUUAGGAGGCAGGGAGCCAGGAGCCUCCCUUACCCCCAAGCUGGUGGGCUCAUUUACAUGAUCCCAGCUUAAUUCUCCCAGGGUAUGCAAAUGUAUGCAAACCACGAUCCAGGAGAGGCAAAAAUAGCAGGGCGCAUUAGCAUCCCCCACAGGAAUAUUGUUUUAUGCAAAAGAUGAGCUUGGGGCCUGCUGAGUGGGCGGCAAUGGAAGAUGCCAGGGAGUCCAACCUCCUGGCCUGUGCCCUCCAGGGUCCCGGCCAGGUCCCUGCUGCCAGGGA